AUUGAACGCUGGCGGCAUGCCUAACACAUGCAAGUCGAACGGGGGCAGCAAUGCCCUAGUGGCGGACGGGUGAGGAAUACGUAGGAACCGGCCCACGAGUGGGGGACAACCUGGGGAAACCCAGGCUAAUACCGCAUACGCUCGCGAGAGGAAAGCGGGGGGACCUUCGGGCCUCGCGCUGGUGGACGGGCCUACGUCCGAUUAGCUUGUUGGUGGGGUAAAAGCCUACCAAGGCGACGAUCGGUAGCUGGUCUGAGAGGAUGAUCAGCCACACUGGGACUGAGACACCGGCCCAGACCUCCGUACGGGGAGGCAGCAGGU
RNAcentral lists this ribosomal RNA (321 nucleotides) under uncultured bacterium. RNAcentral describes it as "bacterial SSU rRNA". It matches the Rfam family "Bacterial small subunit ribosomal RNA", at positions 28 to 355 of the family's 1533-position model. The record is from RNAcentral.